This 278-nucleotide long non-coding RNA is filed under the name Rosa chinensis. RNAcentral's name for it is "sRNA RchiOBHm_Chr2g0142991". Lineage: Eukaryota; Viridiplantae; Streptophyta; Magnoliopsida; Rosales; Rosaceae. The record is from RNAcentral.
CGAUUUUUAUUUUAAUCCCCCAUGCAGUAUAUUAUACUCUAAGGCAUGCGAUAACUCACGUUAUCCCCCUAGCAGUAUAGUGUACUCAAUGGGCAUACGAUAACUCGAGGUUAUCCCCCAUGCAGUACACAAGGCAGACAGACUAGAGCUCUAACUGAAUCGUAACGUGUCACCUUGGCCAAGGUUCACCUUUACGAUAAUAUUUGCCUCAAUUCACUCGACUCCUCAACUGAAUCGUAAUGUGUCACCUUAGCCAAGGUUCACCUUUACGAUAACAG